This 105-nucleotide small nucleolar RNA is filed under the name Ictidomys tridecemlineatus (thirteen-lined ground squirrel). Its description in RNAcentral is "Spermophilus tridecemlineatus (thirteen-lined ground squirrel) Small nucleolar RNA U13". It matches the Rfam family "Small nucleolar RNA U13". The record is from Rfam by way of RNAcentral. Lineage: Eukaryota; Metazoa; Chordata; Mammalia; Rodentia; Sciuridae.
AUUCUUUUUAAUUCAUAAACAAGAUGAUUUGGGUGUUUACACUGUUGUGUGAGAUUUGCCUCCCUCUAAACCUUGUUAUGAUGUUGGUAUAGUACCCAUCUGAUG